This is a long non-coding RNA of Triticum aestivum (bread wheat), 568 nucleotides long. RefSeq lists it as uncharacterized. Lineage: Eukaryota; Viridiplantae; Streptophyta; Magnoliopsida; Poales; Poaceae. The transcript is spliced from 3 exons. The record is from RefSeq and is a predicted model, not a curated record.
UAGCAUUGCAUGUAAAUGAAUCUUAAUAGUAUAUAUUUCAAUUGCAGUUUUUUCCCAUCUUUUCAGUUUGUUAAAUAUUUAAGUUCUAUUUUGACAAAUUUUGUACUAAAGUGGCACAUACUUUCAGUUAUUGCAGAGCAGUCGAACGAGUACCUCAAACUGAUACACACUACUUAUGGUGGUCUUCUAAUUGAACGGGACAUUUACAGAAAUUUAAUUUGACCGGAGAAGCUCUCGGGACACUCGGCACCAAAGAGAUUCCUGGUUCUAUCAUCUAUUGCUACUCUCUGUUCUUCUUUUAUCGUCUUCAGGUUCAGAAAAGAAAGGGUAUUCAAACUAUUCUCAUUUCUCUAUUAAAUCAAAGAUGAUAAUGACAUCGACAAAGUGUUCCAGGCUUGAAAAUGAUAAAACAUUGUGGGUGGCUGCAACUGACCGACUCGAGCUCGCUUCAGCCUCCUCCGAUCCUGCAGCUACUGUCUCCCCAAGCAAAGUCAACCUACAACAACAAGGUGAACCUCCUACCCUGCAGUUUAGGGAACAAGAACUAUCUCAGAUAAUAGGACAUGGU